This 30-nucleotide non-coding RNA is filed under the name Rattus norvegicus (Norway rat). Lineage: Eukaryota; Metazoa; Chordata; Mammalia; Rodentia; Muridae. The record is from RNAcentral.
UGGGCUCACACUUCCAUUUGUGUCUAUCAU